GCAUGUGCGCGAGUCAUUGGGACUCUGUUAAACCUAAAGGCGCAAUGAAAGUAAAGGUCCGCCUCGCGCGGACCGAGGGAGGAUGGGCCCGUCCACGGACGGGCCCCGCACUCCCGGGGCGUCUCGUCCUCAUCGCGAGGAGAGGCGCACCCAGAGCGUACACGCUGGGACCCGAAAGAUGGUGAACUAUGCCUGGUCAGGACGAAGUCAGGGGAAACCCUGAUGGAGGUCCGUAGCGAUUCUGACGUGCAAAUCGAUCGUCGGAACUGGGUAUAGGGGCGAAAGACU
This 288-nucleotide ribosomal RNA is filed under the name Nanos vadoni. RNAcentral describes it as "partial 28S ribosomal RNA". It matches the Rfam family "Eukaryotic large subunit ribosomal RNA", at positions 678 to 932 of the family's 3401-position model. The record is from RNAcentral. Lineage: Eukaryota; Metazoa; Arthropoda; Insecta; Coleoptera; Scarabaeidae.